ACACCGUUGGUGAAGUGGUUAUCAUGCUUGCCUUCCAUUAGUUAUGUAGCAAGCGGCUCGGGUUCGAUUCCCGAACGGUGUA
Molecule: transfer RNA, 82 nt
Filed under: Moniliophthora perniciosa FA553
Lineage: Eukaryota; Fungi; Basidiomycota; Agaricomycetes; Agaricales; Marasmiaceae
Rfam family: tRNA
About the family: Transfer RNA (tRNA) molecules are approximately 80 nucleotides in length. Their secondary structure includes four short double-helical elements and three loops (D, anti-codon, and T loops). Further hydrogen bonds mediate the characteristic L-shaped molecular structure. tRNAs have two regions of fundamental functional importance: the anti-codon, which is responsible for specific mRNA codon recognition, and the 3' end, to which the tRNAs corresponding amino acid is attached (by aminoacyl-tRNA synthetases). tRNAs cope with the degeneracy of the genetic code in two manners: having more than one tRNA (with a specific anti-codon) for a particular amino acid; and 'wobble' base-pairing, i.e. permitting non-standard base-pairing at the 3rd anti-codon position.
Source: Rfam by way of RNAcentral